UGACCUCAAAUCAGGUAGGACUACCCGCUGAACUUAAGCAUAUCAAUAAGCGGAGGAAAAGAAACUAACAAGGAUUCCCCUAGUAGCGGCGAGCGAAGCGGGAUGAGCUCAAAUUUGAAAUCUGGCGUCUUUCAGGCGUCCGAGUUGUAAUCUAUAGAAGCGUUUUCUGUGCUGGACCAUGUCCAAGUCCCUUGGAACAGGGUAUCAAAGAGGGUGACAAUCCCGUACUUGACAUGACCACCAGUGCUCUGUGAUACGUUUUCGACGAGUCGAGUUGUUUGGGAAUGCAGCUCAAAAUGGGUGGUAAAUUCCAUCUAAAGCUAAAUAUUGGCGAGAGACCGAUAGCGAACAAGUACCGUGAGGGAAAGAUGAAAAGCACUUUGGAAAGAGAGUUAAACAGUACGUGAAAUUGUUGAAAGGGAAACGAUUGAAGUCAGUCGUGUCUAUUGGUUUCAGCCGGUUCUGCCGGUGUAUUACCUUUAGACGGGUCAACAUCAGUUUUGGACGGCACAUAAGAGCGGUUAGAAUGUAGCACCUCCGGGUGUGUUAUAGCUUUUCGUUACAUAUGCUGUCCGAGACUGAGGACUGCAGCUCGCCUUUUAGGCCGGGGUUCGCCCACGUUCGAGCUUAGGAUGUUGACAUAAUGGCUUUAAACGACCCGUCUUGAAAC
This 670-nucleotide ribosomal RNA is filed under the name Derxomyces cylindricus. RNAcentral's name for it is "eukaryotic LSU rRNA". It matches the Rfam family "Eukaryotic large subunit ribosomal RNA", at positions 1 to 660 of the family's 3401-position model. Lineage: Eukaryota; Fungi; Basidiomycota; Tremellomycetes; Tremellales; Bulleribasidiaceae. The record is from RNAcentral.